This 72-nucleotide transfer RNA is filed under the name Bos taurus (domestic cattle). It matches the Rfam family "tRNA". From Rfam's summary of the family: Transfer RNA (tRNA) molecules are approximately 80 nucleotides in length. Their secondary structure includes four short double-helical elements and three loops (D, anti-codon, and T loops). RNAcentral also lists the same sequence under 2 other names. The record is from Rfam by way of RNAcentral. Lineage: Eukaryota; Metazoa; Chordata; Mammalia; Artiodactyla; Bovidae.
UUCCUGGUGGCUCAGAUGGUAAAGAAUCUGCCUGCAAUGCAGGAGACCUGGGUUUGAUCCCUGGUCAGGAAG